AUUGUCUCUACUAUGCACCCGCGAGAUCGUUUCUCUAUCCAUUUCAUCACCUUCUCCUUCUAUAAUUGGAUCUUUGUGACUAAGAUCCAUUACUCCUUACCCAACUUGUUUAAUCUAGCUAAUAAUGACACAACUCUCUAUAACCAAAACAAUAUUCAACGUGGAUACCGACUUACACUCCCUGAAAUUUCCGACUUUAUAUACAUUUUUCCCAGAAACAAUUCCAAAACAAAGAACUAAACCAACAAUAAUGACCCAAAUGAAGAUAGGCAGAAAUGUAGAUAACUCAUGA
This 292-nucleotide unclassified non-coding RNA is filed under the name Hevea brasiliensis (rubber tree). Lineage: Eukaryota; Viridiplantae; Streptophyta; Magnoliopsida; Malpighiales; Euphorbiaceae. The record is from RNAcentral.